GACUGGGCGUAAAGGGCGCGUAGGCGGACUGCACAGUCAGGCGUGAAAUUCCUGGGCUUAACCUGGGGACUGCGUCUGAGACGUGUGAUCUAGAGUGAGGAAGAGGGUCGUGGAAUUUCCAGUGUAGAGGUGAAAUUCGUAGAUAUUGGAAAGAACACCGGUGGCGAAGGCGGCGACCUGGUCCUUUACUGACGCUGAGGCGCGAAAGCGUGGGGAGCAAACAGGAUUAGAUACCCUGGUAGUCCACGCUGUAAACGAUGUGUGCUUGAUGUUGGGGUGCUUAGCACUUCAGUGUCGGAGCUAACGCGGUAAGCACACCGCCUGGGGAGU
This 330-nucleotide ribosomal RNA is filed under the name uncultured Acidiphilium sp. RNAcentral's name for it is "bacterial SSU rRNA". It matches the Rfam family "Bacterial small subunit ribosomal RNA", at positions 552 to 881 of the family's 1533-position model. Lineage: Bacteria; Pseudomonadati; Pseudomonadota; Alphaproteobacteria; Acetobacterales; Acidocellaceae. The record is from RNAcentral.